GGACUGCACCUGUGGUUGACUGCAUAGGAGUUCAGACACAUAACCAUUAUGCCUUCUUCUGGCUCCUUGAAAAAGCUAAGUUUGACCAAAAUGAAGAGCAGAUUACAAAUAGUCCUGGUGGCCUAGAGUCGGAGGGAAGGAAACAAAGACCGAGACAGGGCCAUCAGGAGUUAAGAAAAUUCUCUUCCUUCUUCCAUGCAUUACCAGAAGAAAGACAUGCAAGCACAUGGCUAAAAGGUGGAGAUAUCUACAGGCUAGGAAGAGACGGCUCAUCAGGAACCAAAUUAAAUGGCAUUUUGAUCAAGGACUUCUAGCCUCCAGAACUAUUAUGCUGAAGAGGAGGGAGAGGAUUUAUAACCUAAUUCCUAUAGCAUCACAAGGAAAGAAAAACUAUGACCACUUUCAAUUUACAUGAAUCAGCUACCAUGUUGUGAGGACACUCAAGUAUGAAAAAGUCCUGCAUGGAGAAAAACUGAGACCCUCAGCCAACAUUCAGGGAGAAACAGAAACCCCUGCCAACAACCACAUGAAUGAGCUUGAAAGAGCUAAACAGACCUCAUUCCUUCGUUCAUUACCUAUGCUCAGAAGGACUGCUUGAGGAUUCAUCAUACCAUAACACUCGCUCUCGCUUCUGUUGGACAAGUAUCUCUGUUAGCUGGAACCUAUUUCAAGACUGGCAGGGCCAAGGAAGAGAUCAA
Long non-coding RNA from Tupaia belangeri chinensis (Chinese tree shrew), 698 nucleotides. RefSeq lists it as uncharacterized. The transcript is spliced from 6 exons. The record is from RefSeq and is a predicted model, not a curated record. NCBI's taxonomy places the organism in Eukaryota, Metazoa, Chordata, Mammalia, Scandentia, Tupaiidae.